GCUAUUUCAGUAAACCAUUUGAUGUGCUAAAGAAUAAUAUGUAGAGAAGUCAUAUGUCUGAUGGGAAAAAAAUAGGCCAAUGAAGUGACUGAGCCAAAUUAAUAAUACCAUGUGGUUUUUCUUUUUAAGGCCAAUGAAGACUGCAAUGCUUCGUCUGCUCAAACCACAACCUCGGGGGAACCAGGAACUGAUUUUAGGCAGCCGAUGGUCGUGGACCAGGAAAGAACUCAUUUUCCAUUUCUCUAGCUCUGAAUUCAGGGUUCCAAAUCAAGGACUGCCCUCUUGUCCAUCGCAUGACGCGUCCAUUAUAGAUGCAAGUGGGGCAACAUUAGGUAAAAUUGUUAGUUCAUUUUUUGACCAAAUAGGGUAGAGAGUACCCUAAUCUUGACCCACUU
Non-coding RNA from Lolium perenne, 395 nucleotides. Lineage: Eukaryota; Viridiplantae; Streptophyta; Magnoliopsida; Poales; Poaceae. The record is from RefSeq and is a predicted model, not a curated record.